RNAcentral lists this transfer RNA (65 nucleotides) under Metacrangonyx ilvanus. RNAcentral's name for it is "transfer RNA Lysine". The record is from RNAcentral. Lineage: Eukaryota; Metazoa; Arthropoda; Malacostraca; Amphipoda; Metacrangonyctidae.
CAUAGGAUGACUGAAUUAAUAGUAUAAAUUUUUUAAAUUUAAUAUAGUAGAAAUACUUCUUAUGG